AAUACCGAAUAUUCAUUUUUCCUCGCAUGGGGAUUGGUGGAAAGCUUUUGCGGUUGGGGAUGGGCCCGCGGCCUAUCAGCUUGUUGGUGGGGUAAUGGCCUACCAAGGCGACGACGGGUAGCCGACCUGAGAGGGUGAUCGGCCACACUGGGACUGAGACACGGCCCAGACUCCUACGGGAGGCAGCAGUGGGGAAUAUUGCACAAUGGGCGCAAGCCUGAUGCAGCGACGCCGCGUGAGGGAUGACGGCCUUCGGGUUGUAAACCUCUUUCAGCUCCGACGAAGCGCAAGUGACGGUAGGAGCAGAAGAAGCACCGGCCAACUACGUGCCAGCAGCCGCGGUAAUACGUAGGGUGCAAGCGUUGUCCGGAAUUACUGGGCGUAAAGAGCUCGUAGGCGGUUUGUCGCGUCGUCUGUGAAAUUCUGCAGCUUAACUGCAGGCGUGCAGGCGAUACGGGCAGACUUGAGUACUACAGGGGAGACUGGAAUUCCUGGUGUAGCGGUGAAAUGCGCAGAUAUCAGGAGGAACACCGGUGGCGAAGGCGGGUCUCUGGGUAGUAACUGACGCUGAGGAGCGAAAGCG
This 583-nucleotide ribosomal RNA is filed under the name Gordonia sp. YIM 68319. Its description in RNAcentral is "bacterial SSU rRNA". It matches the Rfam family "Bacterial small subunit ribosomal RNA", at positions 165 to 761 of the family's 1533-position model. Lineage: Bacteria; Bacillati; Actinomycetota; Actinomycetes; Mycobacteriales; Gordoniaceae. The record is from RNAcentral.